This 97-nucleotide small nuclear RNA is filed under the name Solanum lycopersicum (tomato). Lineage: Eukaryota; Viridiplantae; Streptophyta; Magnoliopsida; Solanales; Solanaceae. The record is from RNAcentral.
GUCCCUUCAGGGAUAUCCGAUAAAAUUGAAAUGAUACUAAGAAGAUCAGCAUGGCCCUUGCACGACAAGCACAAAUCAAGAAAUGUCUGAAUUUCUA